CACGUAGGGGGCAAGCGUUGUCCGGAUUUAUUGGGCGUAAAGAGCUCGUAGGUGGCUCGGUAAGUCGGGUGUGAAAUUUCGAGGCUCAACCUCGAGACGCCACCUGAUACUGCUGUGGCUAGAGUCCGGUAGGGGAGCGUGGAAUUCCUGGUGUAGCGGUGAAAUGCGCAGAUAUCAGGAGGAACACCAGCGGCGAAGGCGGCGCUCUGGGCCGGUACUGACACUGAGGAGCGAAAGCGUGGGGAUCAAA
This 250-nucleotide ribosomal RNA is filed under the name uncultured bacterium. RNAcentral's name for it is "partial 16S ribosomal RNA". It matches the Rfam family "Bacterial small subunit ribosomal RNA", at positions 524 to 772 of the family's 1533-position model. The record is from RNAcentral.